GAUGAACGCUGGCGGCGUGCCUAAUACAUGCAAGUCGAGCGAACGGACGAGAAGCUUGCUUCUCUGAUGUUAGCGGCGGACGGGUGAGUAACACGUGGAUAACCUACCUAUAAGACUGGGAUAACUUCGGGAAACCGGAGCUAAUACCGGAUAAUAUUUUGAACCGCAUGGUUCAAAAGUGAAAGACGGUCUUACUGUCACUUAUAGAUGGAUCCGCGCUGCAUUAGCUAGUUGGUAAGGUAACGGCUUACCAAGGCAACGAUGCAUAGCCGACCUGAGAGGGUGAUCGGCCACACUGGAACUGAGACACGGUCCAGACUCCUACGGGAGGCAGCAGUAGGGAAUCUUCCGCAAAGGGCGAAAGCCUGACGGAGCAACGCCGCGUGAGUGAUGAAGGUCUUCGGAUCGUAAAACUCUGUUAUUAGGGAAGAACAUAUGUGUAAGUAACUGUGCACAUCUUGACGGUACCUAAUCAGAAAGCCACGGCUAACUACGUG
RNAcentral lists this ribosomal RNA (497 nucleotides) under uncultured bacterium. RNAcentral's name for it is "partial 16S ribosomal RNA". It matches the Rfam family "Bacterial small subunit ribosomal RNA", at positions 28 to 507 of the family's 1533-position model. The record is from RNAcentral.